GACGAACGCUGGCGGCGUGCUUAACACAUGCAAGUCGAACGGAAAGGCCCUGCUUUUGUGGGGUGCUCGAGUGGCGAACGGGUGAGUAACACGUGAGUAACCUGCCCUUGACUUUGGGAUAACUUCAGGAAACUGGGGCUAAUACCGGAUAGGAGCUCCUGCUGCAUGGUGGGGGUUGGAAAGUUUCGGCGGUUGGGGAUGGACUCGCGGCUUAUCAGCUUGUUGGUGGGGUAGUGGCUUACCAAGGCUUUGACGGGUAGCCGGCCUGAGAGGGUGACCGGCCAAAUUGGGACUGAGAUACGGCCCAGACUCCUACGGGAGGCAGCAGUGGGGAAUAUUGCACAAUGGGCGGAAGCCUGAUGCAGAACGCCGCGUGCGGGAUGACGGCCUUCGGGUUGUAAACCGCUUUCGCCUGUGACGAAGCGUGAGUGACGGUAAUGGGUAAAGAAGCACCGGCUAACUACGUG
This 467-nucleotide ribosomal RNA is filed under the name uncultured bacterium. RNAcentral's name for it is "partial 16S ribosomal RNA". It matches the Rfam family "Bacterial small subunit ribosomal RNA", at positions 28 to 507 of the family's 1533-position model. The record is from RNAcentral.